UGCCGCGUGCAGGAUGACGGUCCUAUGGAUUGUAAACUGCUUUUAUACGGGAAGAAAACGAGUUACGUGUAACUAACUGACGGUACCGUAAGAAUAAGGAUCGGCUAACUCCGUGCCAGCAGCCGCGGUAAUACGGAGGAUCCAAGCGUUAUCCGGAAUCAUUGGGUUUAAAGGGUCCGUAGGCGGUCUUAUAAGUCAGUGGUGAAAGUUUUUAGCUUAACUAAAAAAUUGCCAUUGAUACUGUUAGACUUGAAUUACUUGGAAGUAACUAGAAUAUGUAGUGUAGCGGUGAAAUGCUUAGAUAUUACAUGGAAUACCAAUUGCGAAGGCAGGUUACUAUGAGUUAAUUGACGCUGAUGGACGAAAGCGUGGGUAGCGAACAGGAUUAGAUACCCUGGUAGUCCACGCCGUAAACGAUGGAUACUAGUUGUUUGGCCGUAAGGUUGAGUGACUAAGCGAAAGUGAUAAGUAUCCCACCUGGGGAGUACGAACGCCAGUUUGAAACUCAAAUGAAUUGUCGG
Molecule: ribosomal RNA, 521 nt
Filed under: Flavobacterium sp. S1
Lineage: Bacteria; Pseudomonadati; Bacteroidota; Flavobacteriia; Flavobacteriales; Flavobacteriaceae
Description: bacterial SSU rRNA
Rfam family: Bacterial small subunit ribosomal RNA
Source: RNAcentral